RNAcentral lists this long non-coding RNA (767 nucleotides) under Oryza sativa Indica Group (long-grained rice). RNAcentral describes it as "lncRNA OsMH63_12G006590". The record is from RNAcentral. Lineage: Eukaryota; Viridiplantae; Streptophyta; Magnoliopsida; Poales; Poaceae.
UGAGUGUUGAAUGGCUGUGACUUGGCGGGGUUUGAAAGGGAAACGAGAAACCGAAUAGACCGAGUGAACCAAAAAGGCCGAAUACAGGAAAAGCACAUCCCGACCUCCGUCUCGAUUCUUCGUCUCCACCACCAGAUCGCCCACACAACGGCGGCCGAUGGCGCCGACGGCGGGCUGGAGGCGCGAGCAGGCAGGCGGCGCGAGCGGCGGGCGCAGGCCGACUGCUCGCCACUCGACUCUCGAGGCUCUCUGAAUCGCAUCGUCCUGGAUGUCAUGGGAAUCUUCAAAGAUAAUGGUGCGCAGAUAUUUGAACUGGCAGAAACUUUUAAUGGCCUCAACUGGGAAGCUAUUAAUGCCAACAACAGAGAGAUCGUAAUACUCAAGCUCAUCGAUGGCAUCCUCAGCCUCCUCGACUGCAUCCCUGAGCUGCCACAGCCGUGUAUCAAGGUAGUUGAAGGCCUUGUUGGCAAAGAAGGAGAUAGUGGGGGAUGCAACUGACUUUCCAGCAAACACUAGUGCAGAAGAUGCCAUGUUAGUCCUACAAUAUGUUUGUGGCACAAGAGAGAGAUGGAGAUGAUGAAAUGCUGGGUGAUGUAUACAACUGGUCCGAAAACUUUACCUUCUUCAGCAAAGUUGAAAUGUACGUAGGGGGCUGAACAAAAACCAUUUCCCAGAACCGUUAAACCCAGUCAGCAGAUAUGUAAUUUAAGCAGUUGACCCUCCCACUGUAAAAUGAACUGAAGUUGACUUGAAAUCCUUUUUUAAAG